UACGUAGGAGGCAAGCGUUGUCCGGAAUUACUGGGCGUAAAGCGCGUGUAGGCGGCCCGGUAAGUCCGCUGUGAAAGUCGGGGGCUCAACCCUCGGAUGCCGGUGGAUACUGUCGGGCUUGAGUACGGAAGAGGCGAGUGGAAUUCCCGGUGUAGCGGUGAAAUGCGCAGAUAUCGGGAAGAACACCCGUGGCGAAGGCGGUUCUCUGGGACGGUACUGACGCUGAGACGCGAAAGCGUGGGGAGCGAACAGG
This 253-nucleotide ribosomal RNA is filed under the name uncultured bacterium. RNAcentral describes it as "partial 16S ribosomal RNA". It matches the Rfam family "Bacterial small subunit ribosomal RNA", at positions 524 to 776 of the family's 1533-position model. The record is from RNAcentral.